UACCGGAAGGUGCACUUGGAACAAUAUCAGAGUGUAGCUAAAAAGUAUAGCAUCUC
This 56-nucleotide transfer RNA is filed under the name Melanotaenia batanta (Batanta rainbowfish). RNAcentral's name for it is "tRNA-Val". Lineage: Eukaryota; Metazoa; Chordata; Actinopteri; Atheriniformes; Melanotaeniidae. The record is from RNAcentral.